AAAUCAUUUUAUAGAGAAACUCGUGUGUCAGUUUAGUAAGAUAAGUGUGCCAUACAGUUUGAGUUAACCAAAAUCCAAACCUGACCUGACCUUACCUACAAUGUAUGACCUAAAACCUUAAACUCAACAGACAACCUAACCUACUGGCUAGGUAUCCCCUCUCGGGCCUCUCUUUGGUUGCAAAAAACAAGUUGAAGUUGAAGUAUGAUGCCUGCUUGCCUUAAUACCACCAGACUUUGUACCUUGACCUUUUAUGGAUUUGAUUUGCACUUCGGAGUUCAGCUUCACUACAAUAAAAUGAUAUUUUAAGUUUUUAUAUUAAUUUUGUGUUCAUUGUGUACUAAUAUACCCUAGUAUUCAGUAGUUGUGAUUUCACAGUCUUCAAUGAAUGACAUCACCUUCCCGGAAUGAUUUAUCAACAUUAUUUCUGCAGGUGUUGUGUCAUGGCUCUGGUGCUUUCUUUGGUGGUGGUGGGAGCCACGAUUCUGCCGACUUCCAGCAGCAUAUAUGAGACAGACUGUGCGGCAACACUGCAAAUGGGGCAGUAUUUAUGUCUAGACCUCAAUAUUGACCCCAAGACACAACAGCCAGCAGGAUGCACCCCUGAAGGAAAGGCAUUAGUAAACUGUACUGUUGCUCCAGGAAUAAUAUGCAAGGAAUCAGGAAAUAAUACAUUUGAGAAGCACAUUCCCUGCAAAUACACCAACGGCUACUCGUUCGAGACGUCCCUGCUGCUGUCGGUGUUUCUCGGCUUUCUGGGCGCCGACCGUUUCUACCUGGGCUACCCGGGCCUGGGUCUGUUCAAGUUCUGCACUCUCGGCUUUCUGUUCGUCGGUCAGCUAGUGGACAUUGUCCUGAUUGCGACGCAGGUGGUGAAGCCGGCUGACGGCUCCGACUACAUCAUCAGCUACUACGGAGCGGGCCUGGAGAUUCGGACCAUGGAUAACAUGACGUACAGGGUGGUGCAGCCAGACUGGUAGCGGCGGAGAGCGGAGGGCGAUUACAGGUGCGGGGGAGCCGAUAGUGGCAUGAGAUCAGGCAUGGGUGGAUCCAGACAGGUGGCAACGGACCCUACAUAAGGCAUACUCUACGAAAAGGUCCUCCAAAAUGUAAUAACUCCACGAGUUUCAUUUUUCUGCGCGUUGCUGUGCAAUUCAAAGGAAGCAUUUUUGAUGUGGUUUGAUAUAUUUGUUUGUGUGCGAGGAAGAUGGUUUUUCUCAUGCCUUUCGGACGCUGUGGGAUCGGUGCCCAUGAUGCUCCUUGAUCCACCAGUGACUGCGGUUGAUCGUGUUUUGACUCGUACAGAUAGGCUAUUGUACGAUUUCAAGACUCUACACCACGAAAUGAUGUGGGCUUGAUUGAUCUGUGAUAUAUCUUUUCAUGUGCGAUAACUGGUUUGUGUGUGACCAAAAUUGUCGGAUUUUUCAUCUCACUCAUUCAUCACUCAUCAGUGUGUUAAAUGUUAAACAUGAAUGUCGUGUAUAACGUAAAUAAUGAAUACAUAGGUACAUCACGAUA
RNAcentral lists this unclassified non-coding RNA (1518 nucleotides) under Amphibalanus amphitrite. Its description in RNAcentral is "tM2 domain-containing protein CG10795-like, transcript variant X1". Lineage: Eukaryota; Metazoa; Arthropoda; Thecostraca; Balanomorpha; Balanidae. The record is from RNAcentral.